This 490-nucleotide ribosomal RNA is filed under the name uncultured bacterium. RNAcentral's name for it is "partial 16S ribosomal RNA". It matches the Rfam family "Bacterial small subunit ribosomal RNA", at positions 29 to 507 of the family's 1533-position model. The record is from RNAcentral.
AAUGAACGCUGGCGGCAUGCCUUACACAUGCAAGUCGAACGGCAGCAUGACCUAGCUUGCUAGGUUGAUGGCGAGUGGCGAACGGGUGAGUAAUGCAUCGGAACGUGCCUUUUAGUGGGGGAUAACGUAGCGAAAGUUACGCUAAUACCGCAUAUUCUCUGAGGAGGAAAGCAGGGGACCUUCGGGCCUUGCGCUAGAAGAGCGGCCGAUGUCGGAUUAGCUAGUUGGUGAGGUAAAGGCUCACCAAGGCAACGAUCCGUAGCGGGUCUGAGAGGAUGAUCCGCCGCACUGGGACUGAGACACGGCCCAGACUCCUACGGGAGGCAGCAGUGUGGAAUUUUGGACAAUGGGCGCAAGCCUGAUCCAGCCAUGCCGCGUGAGUGAAGAAGGCCUUCGGGUUGUAAAGCUCUUUCGGCUGGGAAGAAAUCGCACCCUCUAAUACAGGGUGUGGAUGACGGUACCAGCAUAAGAAGCACCGGCUAACUACGUG